RNAcentral lists this transfer RNA (72 nucleotides) under Marmota monax (woodchuck). Its description in RNAcentral is "tRNA.Ala". Lineage: Eukaryota; Metazoa; Chordata; Mammalia; Rodentia; Sciuridae. The record is from RNAcentral.
GGGAUAUAGCUCAGUGGUACAGCACUUGCCUAGCAUGUUCAAGGGCCUGGGUUCAAUCCCCAGACUGCUUCA